Molecule: long non-coding RNA, 705 nt
Filed under: Prunus persica (peach)
Lineage: Eukaryota; Viridiplantae; Streptophyta; Magnoliopsida; Rosales; Rosaceae
Description: long non-coding RNA (PPER_LNC004092)
Source: RNAcentral
CCCUAAGCACUUCUCUAUUGAUAACUUAGGUGGUGGAACCUCAUUUGCCUUAACUACUUAACCAACUAUUCUUGAGUGUGACGUUAAUUCACGUGUCCUUAUAUGAAUGAACAAUCAUUUAUAUUUAACAGGUAAAGUAUUAAUAAAUAAAAUACUUUAUUAUAACAUGAGUGAAUUGUAAUAACAGAUGUCAUAGUAUGAUCGCACCUACAUUAUCAGACCUGUUGAUGCAGUCCUUACUAUCGUAUGAUAAAUAGAUGCUUGAAAACUUGAUCUUUUUUGUUAGUUGCAAAAGAAGCCCUUGACAUUAUUGGGGAAUAUGAAUAUACGAAGCCAAUUAUGUAAGAGAUAUCUUCCAUGAAGCCCUCCUAGCCCAUGUCACAUUGGUUUGAUGCCGGAGAGCAAACUACAGUGGAAAGAAACCUCCAUGAGAAAAUUUGCAACAUCAACUCUUUUUACCACUAACCCAAUAAUUCCAUUAUUUUCCUCAUACAUAUUAGUUUGUGCCGUGAACUCAGCCAUGAAUGCAUUCUCCUCUAUCCACAUCUUUGCUGCUAAAAAGUAAUUAUCAAAUAUGAGAUAGAAUUCAACAAACAGAUUAGUAGUGGUAAUCAAAAUAAAUGACAUUUUAGUUUCCUCCACGAUCUCAAUUUAGAUUGUAAUUAUUUUUCUAAAAUACCAAUUAUCGUAUAUUUUGUACUCGUU